UACAUACCCAAAAUGAUGGUUUCAAAAA
Molecule: small RNA, 28 nt
Filed under: Bombyx mori (domestic silkworm)
Lineage: Eukaryota; Metazoa; Arthropoda; Insecta; Lepidoptera; Bombycidae
Description: ovarian small RNA-20368
Source: RNAcentral